RNAcentral lists this transfer RNA (74 nucleotides) under Felis catus (domestic cat). It matches the Rfam family "tRNA". Rfam says of the family: Transfer RNA (tRNA) molecules are approximately 80 nucleotides in length. Their secondary structure includes four short double-helical elements and three loops (D, anti-codon, and T loops). The record is from Rfam by way of RNAcentral. Lineage: Eukaryota; Metazoa; Chordata; Mammalia; Carnivora; Felidae. RNAcentral also lists the same sequence under 4 other names.
ACCUGGCUGGCUCAGUUGGUAGAGCAUGUGACUCUUGAUCUCCGGGGUCGUGAGUCCAAGACCCAUGCUGGGUG